This is a non-coding RNA of Equus caballus (horse), 305 nucleotides long. NCBI's taxonomy places the organism in Eukaryota, Metazoa, Chordata, Mammalia, Perissodactyla, Equidae. The record is from RefSeq and is a predicted model, not a curated record.
UCCCUCAGGAACGACUCGCCAUGCUGAUUCCUGUUGUGUCCUCUUGCUUUCCCUCCCUCUGCAGUGCCGUUCCCCUCGCAAAUGGGAGAUUCAGCCUGUGAGAAAACAGAUUCUUACACUUAAGUAGCUAGUCCAAGACAGAAAUGCGAUUGAACCCAGCUCAGGCUCGGAAGUCCAAGCUCCUUCCCUCCAAUUGCCCCAGUAAUGGAAACGGUAUUGAAGGUAAGUGACUGGGAGGUUUUUUUUAGAGGGAGGGGAGAUCUUUAAAGGCAGGUAAUGGUGUAGAAGAGCUCUUGAAAGGGGUA